CAGCCGCCGCGGGAAUACGAAGGGGGCUAGCGUUGCUCGGAAUGACUGGGCGUAAAGGGCGCGUAGGCGGCGGCCAAAGUCAGACGUGAAAUUCCUGGGCUCAACCUGGGGGCUGCGUUUGAUACUUGGUUGCUUGAGUGGGGAAGAGGGUCGUGGAAUUCCCAGUGUAGAGGUGAAAUUCGUAGAUAUUGGGAAGAACACCGGUGGCGAAGGCGGCCAUCUGGGACAACACUGACGCUGAGGCACGAAAGCGUGGGGAGCAAACAGGAUUAGAUACCCCCGUAGUCCCUGUCUCUUAUAC
This 301-nucleotide ribosomal RNA is filed under the name uncultured bacterium. RNAcentral's name for it is "partial 16S ribosomal RNA". It matches the Rfam family "Bacterial small subunit ribosomal RNA", at positions 509 to 807 of the family's 1533-position model. The record is from RNAcentral.